Molecule: ribosomal RNA, 432 nt
Filed under: uncultured bacterium
Lineage: Bacteria
Description: partial 16S ribosomal RNA
Rfam family: Bacterial small subunit ribosomal RNA
Source: RNAcentral
GCGAACGCUGGCGGCAGGCCUCACACAUGCAAGUUGAACGAACUCUUCGGAGUUAGUGGCGGACGGGUGAGUAGCACGUGGGAACGUGCCUUUUGGUUCGGAAUAACUCAGGGAAACUUGUGCUAAUACCGAAUGUGCCCUUCGGGGGAAAGAUUUAUCGCCAUUAGAGCGGCCCGCGUCUGAUUAGCUAGUUGGUGAGGUAACGGCUCACCAAGGCGACGAUCAGUAGCUGGUCUGAGAGGAUGACCAGCCACACUGGGACUGAGACACGGCCCAGACUCCUACGGGAGGCAGCAGUGGGGAAUCUUGCGCAAUGGGCGAAAGCCUGACGCAGCCAUGCCGCGUGAAUGAUGAAGGUCUUAGGAUUGUAAAAUUCUUUCACCGGGGACGAUAAUGACGGUACCCGGAGAAGAAGCCCCGGCUAACUUCGUG